Long non-coding RNA from Anolis carolinensis (green anole), 1165 nucleotides. RefSeq lists it as uncharacterized. Lineage: Eukaryota; Metazoa; Chordata; Lepidosauria; Squamata; Anolidae. The transcript is spliced from 3 exons. The record is from RefSeq and is a predicted model, not a curated record.
CUGUGUGAGAUUCUUUGCUAUUUAAACAACAGGCUGAGCCAUUUUGGCUCAUACUCGCAGUAGAAUAAAACUUGAAUGCAGAGUAUCAUUGAUUUGAAACAGAACGCUUUGUUCCACAGUAUCUAUGAAAGACUUUACGGUUCACUGAGUACAUUCUUGAAUUGUUUGAACUAAAUAACAAAAACCCUAUCACCAGACGAAGACUAUAGGUAGUCGAAACCGGUUGUGGAUCAGGGGUCUAAUUCUUCUUUUAUGAAGAAACAGGAAAAUAAACAAGAAGGUUUAUUCCAUUGUGAAUGUAACUACCAUUCAUCAUACUGUGAAUGCAACAUUUGAUUGUCAUUUGUAACUAUUUAUCUGAAAUUUAUAUUCAUUUAUUGUAUAUAGUACAAUGUUUAAUGAUAUUUAAUACAUUGAUAUUAUUCCAUUAGAGGACACUUGUUAGUUCAAGAACAUGUGAAGAUCACUGCAGGAUUAGCCCAAAGGCUUAUAGUCUCUUCUCCAUAAUAGCUAAGCAGUAGUUCAUAAGCACAACACAAGACCAAUAGCACUCCUGUGCUAUUUAUCCCAGCCACAGAUAAUGAAGUAAGCUGCCUUUGGUGCUCUAGGUAAUACAUAGCUAUCAAGGCUAGUAGCAUUUGAUUGGCAAAUCCUCCAUGAAUUUGUCUAAUAACUUUUUAAAGCUAUUUGGAUUGAUGGCCAUCACUGACAUCAGUGAAUUUCCCAGACUAUGUGUCAUUUCCUAAAUCUCACACCAUUCAGCAUAAUUGGAUGAACUCAGGUCAUGUAUCUCAGAACAGAUUACCAAAACCAAAAUGAUAUACUCAGAAACAUUGAAUUAUGUCAUGUGAUUCAGGCUAAGCCACAUGUUAUGGGACCAGGCCACAAACAACAUACAGAACACUUGUGCAUCCAUGAAAGACAAUUCUGUGUUCUUUGUUUUUCCAUUGAACUGAUCUUUUAAACUGUCAUGAAAAUGUACCUUUUAAAUAUAAUCCAUGCACUCGUAUAUAUUUAUCUUUUCCUGUCAAAAAUGUUAUUGCAAAGUUUAUGAUUAUUUUCAUUUUAAAACAUAAUGAUAGCACAGUACACAGUCUGCUGAAUGCAAGCCAAAGUGUUUUUAAGAGCUCAGUUUUUCAGUAUAAAGCAUCCAUUUAUCACUGGA